RNAcentral lists this non-coding RNA (23 nucleotides) under Cricetulus griseus (Chinese hamster). Lineage: Eukaryota; Metazoa; Chordata; Mammalia; Rodentia; Cricetidae. The record is from RNAcentral.
GUCCAAGAGCACGUCGUACUGUG